This 340-nucleotide unclassified non-coding RNA is filed under the name soil metagenome. RNAcentral describes it as "partial contains 5.8S ribosomal RNA, internal transcribed spacer 2, and large subunit ribosomal RNA". The stretch from base 1 to 120 matches the Rfam family "5.8S ribosomal RNA", at positions 35 to 154 of the family's 154-position model. The record is from RNAcentral.
GAUGAAGAACGUAGCGAAAUGCGAUAAGUAGUGUGAAUUGCAGAAUUCAGUGAAUCAUCGAAUCUUUGAACGCACAUUGCGCCCUUUGGUAUUCCAAAGGGCAUGCCUGUUCGAGCGUCAUUUGUACCCUCAAGCUUUGCUUGGUGUUGGGCGUCUUGUCUCUAGCUUUGCUGGAGACUCGCCUUAAAGUAAUUGGCAGCCGGCCUACUGGUUUCGGAGCGCAGCACAAGUCGCACUCUCUAUCAGCAAAGGUCUAGCAUCCAUUAAGCCUUUUUUUCAACUUUUGACCUCGGAUCAGGUAGGAAUACCCGCUGAACUUAAGCAUAUCAAUAAGCGAGGA